RNAcentral lists this unclassified non-coding RNA (266 nucleotides) under Cladophialophora sp. RNAcentral describes it as "partial contains 5.8S ribosomal RNA, internal transcribed spacer 2, and large subunit ribosomal RNA". Lineage: Eukaryota; Fungi; Ascomycota; Eurotiomycetes; Chaetothyriales; Herpotrichiellaceae. The record is from RNAcentral.
CGCACAUUGCGCCCUUUGGUAUUCCGAAGGGCAUGCCUGUUCGAGCGUCAUUAUCACCCCUCAAGCCCCGGGCUUGUCGUUGGAUCCAAGUUCGCCCACCUUGCUGUGGCCAACUGGUCUCAAAGAUAACGACGGUGUCUGUGGGACCCUCUCGGUGCAACGAGCCUUCUGGCACGCACCUGAGUUGCAAAGGGUUCCCGGCCGGUCUCCCCUUAAAAUUUUCUAAGGUUGACCUCGGAUCAGGUAGGAAUACCCGCUGAACUUAA